UAGGGAAUCUUCGGCAAUGGACGAAAGUCUGACCGAGCAACGCCGCGUGAGUGAAGAAGGUUUUCGGAUCGUAAAACUCUGUUGUUAGAGAAGAACAAGGACGUUAGUAACUGAACGUCCCCUGACGGUAUCUAACCAGAAAGCCACGGCUAACUACGUGCCAGCAGCCGCGGUAAUACGUAGGUGGCAAGCGUUGUCCGGAUUUAUUGGGCGUAAAGCGAGCGCAGGCGGUUUCUUAAGUCUGAUGUGAAAGCCCCCGGCUCAACCGGGGAGGGUCAUUGGAAACUGGGAGACUUGAGUGCAGAAGAGGAGAGGGGAAUUCCAUGUAUAGCGGUGAAGUGCGUAGAUAUAUGGAGGAACACCAGUGGCGAAGGCGGCUCUCUGGUCUGUAACUGACGCUGAGGCUCGAAAGCGUGGGGAGCAAACAGG
Molecule: ribosomal RNA, 429 nt
Filed under: Gemmatimonadota bacterium
Lineage: Bacteria; Pseudomonadati; Gemmatimonadota
Description: Gemmatimonadetes bacterium partial 16S ribosomal RNA
Rfam family: Bacterial small subunit ribosomal RNA
Source: RNAcentral